This 253-nucleotide ribosomal RNA is filed under the name uncultured bacterium. RNAcentral's name for it is "partial 16S ribosomal RNA". It matches the Rfam family "Bacterial small subunit ribosomal RNA", at positions 524 to 776 of the family's 1533-position model. The record is from RNAcentral.
UACGAGGGGGGCGAGCGUUGUUCGGAAUUAUUGGGCGUAAAGGGUGCGUAGGCGGUUUGGUAAGUCUCGUGUGAAAUCUCCGGGCUCAACUCGGAGCCUGCACGAGAAACUGCCGGGCUUGAGUGUGGGAGAGGUGAGUGGAAUUCCUGGUGUAGCGGUGAAAUGCGUAGAUAUCAGGAGGAACACCUGUGGCGAAAGCGGCUCACUGGACCAUAACUGACGCUGAUGCACGAAAGCUAGGGGAGCAAACAGG